Molecule: long non-coding RNA, 231 nt
Organism: Alosa sapidissima (American shad)
Lineage: Eukaryota; Metazoa; Chordata; Actinopteri; Clupeiformes; Clupeidae
Exons: 3
Source: RefSeq, a predicted model, not a curated record
AAAAAGUAACUUAUGUUUAAAAGAUAAAGAGGAAGUGAUUUGUUGCUAUUUUUGGGAUUCUGAUUGGCUAACGCGGCCUUGAGCUUCUCGUUACACUGCUACCUAAAGGUUUGGCAUGCUCUUGACGGCAUAUAUACACGGGUUAGUGUAAACAAAAACUUUUCUGAAAACUGACAGGUGUGCACGAUGUUAUUUUUGAAAACGGAGAGGGUGAAAUGUCCGUUUAUGGAA